Small nuclear RNA from Bombus pascuorum, 109 nucleotides. The record is from RefSeq and is a predicted model, not a curated record. NCBI's taxonomy places the organism in Eukaryota, Metazoa, Arthropoda, Insecta, Hymenoptera, Apidae.
UUGAAAUAUGAAAGGAAAGAGACGUUUAGCACUCCCCUAGACAAGGAUGGAACACAUAUAUAAAUGGUAAGGCACUGUCGCCUUUCGGCGGCACUUACCAGAUUUUUUG